UGAGGAAUAUUGGUCAAUGGACGAGAGUCUGAACCAGCCAUGUCGCGUGAAGGACGACUGUCCUAUGGAUUGUAAACUUCUUUUAUAUGGGAAUAAAGUGAGAAACGUGUUUCUUUUUGUAUGUACCAUAUGAAUAAGCAUCGGCUAACUCCGUGCCAGCAGCCGCGGUAAUACGGAGGAUGCGAGCGUUAUCCGGAUUUAUUGGGUUUAAAGGGUGCGUAGGCGGGAUAUUAAGUCAGUGGUGAAAGUUUGCCGCUCAACGGUAAAAUUGCCAUUGAAACUGAUAUUCUUGAGUGCGUUAAAGGUAGGCGGAAUGUGUAGUGUAGCGGUGAAAUGCUUAGAUAUUACACAGAACACCGAUUGCGAAGGCAGCUUACUGGUGCGUAACUGACGCUGAUGCACGAAAGCGUGGGUAUCAAACAGG
Molecule: ribosomal RNA, 424 nt
Filed under: uncultured prokaryote
Also listed under: 1 other name
Description: bacterial SSU rRNA
Rfam family: Bacterial small subunit ribosomal RNA
Source: RNAcentral